AGUGAAGCGGCAAAAGCUCAAAUUUGAAAUCUGGUACCUUCGGUGCCCGAGUUGUAAUUUGGAGAGGGCAACUUUGGGGCCGUUCCUUGUCUAUGUUCCUUGGAACAGGACGUCAUAGAGGGUGAGAAUCCCGUGUGGCGAGGAGUGCGGUUCUUUGUAAAGUGCCUUCGAAGAGUCGAGUUGUUUGGGAAUGCAGCUCUAAGUGGGUGGUAAAUUCCAUCUAAAGCUAAAUAUUGGCGAGAGACCGAUAGCGAACAAGUACAGUGAUGGAAAGAUGAAAAGAACUUUGAAAAGAGAGUGAAAAAGUACGUGAAAUUGUUGAAAGGGAAGGGCAUUUGAUCAGACAUGGUGUUUUGUGCCCUCUGCUCCUUGUGGGUAGGGGAAUCUCGCAUUUCACUGGGCCAGCAUCAGUUUUGGUGGCAGGAUAAAUCCAUAGGAAUGUAGCUUGCCUCGGUAAGUAUUAUAGCCUGUGGGAAUACUGCCAGCUGGGACUGAGGACUGCGACGUAAGUCAAGGAUGCUGGCAUAAUGGUUAUAUGCCGCCCGUCUUGA
RNAcentral lists this ribosomal RNA (551 nucleotides) under Saccharomyces cerevisiae (brewer's yeast). Its description in RNAcentral is "partial large subunit ribosomal RNA". It matches the Rfam family "Eukaryotic large subunit ribosomal RNA", at positions 92 to 657 of the family's 3401-position model. Lineage: Eukaryota; Fungi; Ascomycota; Saccharomycetes; Saccharomycetales; Saccharomycetaceae. The record is from RNAcentral.